Molecule: long non-coding RNA, 1358 nt
Organism: Herpailurus yagouaroundi (jaguarundi)
Lineage: Eukaryota; Metazoa; Chordata; Mammalia; Carnivora; Felidae
Exons: 2
Source: RefSeq, a predicted model, not a curated record
UAUAUUAAUAUACUGUUGACCUUUAUGUAUUAAUCUUAAAUAUUUUUUAUUUUUACAUUUAUGUGCAGCAUAAGUGAGAUUUGUCUAUAGGGUUUUUUUGAGGGGGUGCUAUUUCUGACAGGUUUUGAUAUUAGGUAUAUUCUGGCUUCGUAAACAAAUUGGGUAGUUUUCCAUCUUUUUCUAUGUUCCAGAACAGUUUCUACUUUCUAUUCAUUUUGACAGAUAAACACUGUAUAAUAGAGAUGACAAGGAAGAGAAUGCAAAUCGGCACAGAUUAUUUUGCCUCAGUAACUCCGCCACUUUUGUAGCUGCAGGACAGCCUUGAUUGUACAGGCGCAAUUUGGAGCAGUAGGAGGGUCAAACGGUCCAUUAUUUUGGUGUUGAAGAGUGUAGCUGGCUGGGCAGGCACAGAGUUAACAACCAACAGCCAAGAGCAGCCACCAGCUUGACAUCAGGAGGAAGAUGCCAGGAGCACAGAUGGUCCACAACCCAGAUAAUUAGCUUCCGAAGAAGAAACCACAUCUCAUAAGUCUUCUCUGAAUGUAGAGCUUGGUUGGGCACAGCUGGGGCAGAGAACAAGCAGGCCUCCUGAAAACUCUUCUUUACCUCUUAAAAUGUUGGUAGAGCACUCACCCACUUCCUGUGGACAACCACCUACUCAUAAGACCUGCAGGGAAGAAUUCCAAAUAAAUAUUGUUGACACUCCACCCUAAAGGAGGGUCAGCGGAACUCUCUACUCCUUAAGUGUGGGAUGCACAUGGUGACUUCCUCCCAAAGAGCACAGGAUGGGAGGGGGUGGGGAGAGUGUAAUUUUACAGUGGAGGAACCUGAUAAAUACUACUCUUGCCAGGUGAUAAAGGUCAACAUCAACAGUCAUAAAUUAUGUUGAUAGUAUGUACUAUUGAUAUAUUAUGAAAAUGAUACUUCACCUCUGUGAUCUUCCUCCCCAAACCCAUAAUCCCAGUCUAAUCAUGAGAAAACAAUCAGACAAACUAAAUUCCAACAGAGGGGCAUCCUAUAGUAUGCCUGACCAGUACUUCUCAAAACUAUCAAGGCCAUCAAAAACAAGGAACAACUGAGAAACUUGUCACAGCCCAGAGGAGCCUAAGGAGACAUGACAACUAUAUGUAACACAGUAUUCUGGAUUGGAUCUUGUAACAGAAAGAGGACAUUAGGUAAACACUAAGGAAAUCUGAAUAAACUACAGACUUUGAUAAUAAUAAUUUAUCAAUAUUGGUCCCUGAAUUAUAAUAAAUGUACCAUACAUGUGAAGAUCUUAAUAACAAAGAGAGCUCUGGGGAGGCACAUGGGAACUCACUGUACUAUCUGCUCAAUCAUUCUGUAAAUCUAAAACUGUU